RNAcentral lists this small RNA (148 nucleotides) under Macaca fascicularis (crab-eating macaque). Its description in RNAcentral is "Metazoan signal recognition particle RNA (ENSMFAG00000054361.1)". The record is from Rfam by way of RNAcentral. Lineage: Eukaryota; Metazoa; Chordata; Mammalia; Primates; Cercopithecidae.
GCUGGGUGUGGUGGUGCACAUCUGUAAUCCCAGCUACUCGGGAGGCUGAGGCAGGAGAAUCGUUUGAACCCAGGAGGUGGAGGUUGCAGUGAGCUGAGAUUGUGCCACUGCAUUCCAGCCUGGGCAAUAGAGUGAGACUCUGUCUCAA